GGGUAGAAUUCCAGGUGUAGCGGUGAAAUGCGUAGAGAUCUGGAGGAAUACCGGUGGCGAAGGCGGCCCCCUGGACGAAGACUGACGCUCAGGUGCGAAAGCGUGGGGAGCAAACAGGAUUAGAUACCCUGGUAGUCCACGCCGUAAACGAUGUCGACUUGGAGGUUGUGCCCUUGAGGCGUGGCUUCCGGAGCUAACGCGUUAAGUCGACCGCCUGGGGAGUACGGCCGCAAGGUUAAAACUCAAAUGAAUUGACGGGGGCCCGCACAAGCGGUGGAGCAUGUGGUUUAAUUCGAUGCAACGCGAAGAACCUUACCUGGUCUUGACAUCCACAGAACUUUCCAGAGAUGGAUUGGUGCCUUCGGGAACUGUGAGACAGGUGCUGCAUGGCUGUCGUCAGCUCGUGUUGUGAAAUGUUGGGUUAAGUCCCGCAACGAGCGCAACCCUUAUCCUUUGUUGCCAGCGGUCCGGCCGGGAACUCAAAGGAGACUGCCAGUGAU
Molecule: ribosomal RNA, 500 nt
Filed under: Escherichia coli
Lineage: Bacteria; Pseudomonadati; Pseudomonadota; Gammaproteobacteria; Enterobacterales; Enterobacteriaceae
Description: bacterial SSU rRNA
Rfam family: Bacterial small subunit ribosomal RNA
Source: RNAcentral